GUGUCAGCAGCCGCGGUAAUACGGAGGGUGCAAGCGUUGUUCGGAAUUACUGGGCGUAAAGGGCGCGUAGGCGGUUUGAUAAGUCAGAUGUGAAAGCCCACGGCUUAACUGUGGAAGUGCAUUUGAAACUGUCAGACUUGAGUACCAGAGGGGAAAGUGGAAUUCCCGGUGUAGAGGUGAAAUUCGUAGAUAUCGGGAGGAAUACCGGUGGCGAAGGCGACUUUCUGGCUGGAUACUGACGCUGAGGCGCGAAAGCGUGGGGAGCAAACAGGAUUAGAUACCCGCGUAGUCC
This 292-nucleotide ribosomal RNA is filed under the name uncultured bacterium. RNAcentral's name for it is "partial 16S ribosomal RNA". It matches the Rfam family "Bacterial small subunit ribosomal RNA", at positions 505 to 796 of the family's 1533-position model. The record is from RNAcentral.